UACGGAGGGUGCAAGCGUUAAUCGGAAUUACUGGGCGUAAAGAGUACGUAGGUGGUUUGUUAAGUCAGAUGUGAAAGCCCCGGGCUCAACCUGGGAACUGCAUUUGAUACUGGCAGACUAGAGUAUGGUAGAGGGGGGUAGAAUUUCUAGUGUAGCGGUGAAAUGCGUAGAUAUUAGAAGGAAUACCAGUGGCGAAGGCGGCCCCCUGGACCAAUACUGACACUGAGGUACGAAAGCGUGGGUAGCGAACAGG
Molecule: ribosomal RNA, 253 nt
Filed under: uncultured bacterium
Lineage: Bacteria
Description: partial 16S ribosomal RNA
Rfam family: Bacterial small subunit ribosomal RNA
Source: RNAcentral